RNAcentral lists this ribosomal RNA (486 nucleotides) under uncultured bacterium. RNAcentral describes it as "bacterial SSU rRNA". It matches the Rfam family "Bacterial small subunit ribosomal RNA", at positions 28 to 526 of the family's 1533-position model. The record is from RNAcentral.
GACGAACGCUGGCGGCGUGCUUAACACAUGCAAGUCGAACGAAUGUCUGCCCUUCGGGGCAGACGUGAGUGGCGAACGGGUGAGUAACACGUGAGCAACCUGCCCUUGACACUGGAAUAACAGCUGGAAACAGCUGCUAAUACCGGAUACGACCUUCGAUGGCAUCAUCUGGAGGUGGAAAGCUCCGACGGUCAAGGAUGGGCUCGCGGCCUAUCAGCUUGUUGGUGAGGUAACGGCUCACCAAGGCUUCGACGGGUAGCCGGCCUGAGAGGGCGACCGGCCACACUGGGACUGAGAUACGGCCCAGACUCCUACGGGAGGCAGCAGUGGGGAAUAUUGCACAAUGGGCGCAAGCCUGAUGCAGCAACGCCGCGUGCGGGAUGACGGCCUUCGGGUUGUAAACCGCUUUCAGCUCCGACGAAGGUAACCUGACGGUAGGAGCAGAAGAAGGACCGGCCAACUACGUGCCAGCAGCCGCGGUAAAAC